This 375-nucleotide ribosomal RNA is filed under the name uncultured organism. RNAcentral describes it as "partial 16S ribosomal RNA". It matches the Rfam family "Bacterial small subunit ribosomal RNA", at positions 527 to 896 of the family's 1533-position model. The record is from RNAcentral.
GUAGGUGGCAAGCGUUGUCCGGAAUUAUUGGGCGUAAAGCGCGCGCAGGCGGUCCUUUAAGUCUGAUGUGAAAGCCCACGGCUCAACCGUGGAGGGUCAUUGGAAACUGGGGGACUUGAGUACAGAAGAGGAAAGCGGAAUUCCAAGUGUAGCGGUGAAACGCGUAGAGAUUUGGAGGAACACCAGUGGCGAAGGCGGCUUUCUGGUCUGUAACUGACGCUGAGGCGCGAAAGCGUGGGGAGCAAACAGGAUUAGAUACCCUGGUAGUCCACGCCGUAAACGAUGAGUGCUAAGUGUUAGGGGGUUUCCCGCCCCCCUUAGUGCUGCAGCUAACGCAUUAAGCACUCCGCCUGGGGGAGUACGGCCGCAAGGCUG